CUACGGGUUGCAGCAGUGGGGAAUAUUGGACAAUGGGGGAAACCCUGAUCCAGCAAUGCCGCGUGUGUGAAGAAGGCCUGCGGGUUGUAAAGCACUUUCGGUUGGGAGGACUGCUUCUAGCACUAAUAUUGUUGGAAGUUGACGUUACCUUCAGAAGAAGCACCGGCUAACUCCGUGCCAGCAGCCGCGGUAAUACGGGAGGUGCAAGCGUUAAUCGGAAUUACUGGGCGUAAAGCGCGCGUAGGCGGCUAGAUCAGUCGGGUGUGAAAGCCCCGGGCUUAACCUGGGAACUGCAUCCGAUACUGUCUAGCUUGAGUACAGGAGAGGAGAGUGGAAUUCCACAUGUAGCGGUGAAAUGCGUAGAGAUGUGGAGGAACACCAAUGGCGAAGGCAGCUCUCUGGCCUGAUACUGACGCUGAGGUGCGAAAGCGUGGGGAGCAAACAGGAUUAGAUACCCGUGUAGUC
RNAcentral lists this ribosomal RNA (465 nucleotides) under uncultured bacterium. Its description in RNAcentral is "partial 16S ribosomal RNA". It matches the Rfam family "Bacterial small subunit ribosomal RNA", at positions 339 to 795 of the family's 1533-position model. The record is from RNAcentral.